Molecule: long non-coding RNA, 2078 nt
Organism: Arachis duranensis
Lineage: Eukaryota; Viridiplantae; Streptophyta; Magnoliopsida; Fabales; Fabaceae
Exons: 8
Source: RefSeq, a predicted model, not a curated record
CUCACCACUCACCAGUUACCACUCUCACCUUCUCAAACAGUUACUGAGCUACACUUCUCCCCUCAAACAGUCGUCGUCUUCGCUAAUCUGGAUGCCGUCACCAUCGUCUUCUAGACUCGCAACCGUCAUCGUCGUCUUCUCCAGUUUCGACGCCGUCGCCGUUGUCUUCUGGACUCAACAUUUCGCGGUGGUUUCUCUCGCUUCUACAGCGACAAAGGUAAGGUUCUCAGCGAAGAGGAGUAGGCCAAAGAGAACGUCUACAUCAAGAAACGAGAGAGAGAGAGAGAGGUUGGAGAAACAGAAGCAGCAAGCUGGGAAGGAAAAGGCAAAGAUGGACAAAAAACGCUUCUGACAAGGUGCCAAUCGGUACUACUACAUGUGUUUGAAUGAUUUGCUUGCAGGGGUUGGUAAUGCUGGUGUUGGUGUUCUUGAUGCUAUCUGUAUGGAAUCAAAGUGGAAGCUGUACUUGGGAAACAGUACAAUCAUGUAUCCAGGUGACUUAAUAGAAAUGAUAGUCUUUAUUGUGCAUGGAAAACUGGAGAUCAAGGACAGCAGUGGAACAAGCGGCCACAUAUCUGAUGGGGAUGCAUGUUGCCAAGGACUCCUUUUCUGGUAUCUUCAGAGAGCUUUAUCGAAUAGUAACACAGAUGGUGACAAAUUAUUUUUUCCUGAAGAAAGAUUUCUGAGCACCAAGAGCAUAACUUGUUUAACAGAUGUGGAGGUAUUUGUAGUUGAAGUCACUGACCUUGAAAAGAUCCUAACUCGGUUUACAAAAUUCUUGCACACUCCACGUAUUGAAGAGGCCAUAAAAAGGCACAAAAUGCUUGAAAGGCUGCAUGAAGAAUCAGGAAGCCACUUUGAUUAGAUAUCUUUUGGUUGCUUGUGUUGGUGUUCAAUGUUGGUAUUGCUGGUGAUGUUUCUAGUGUUAGCAUCAAAGGGUCAAAUGGUAAAUGGCUUACUAUGUCAAAAAAUUGGGGACAAAAUUGGUUAAUUGGAGUUAAUUUGGUUGGACAAAGUUUGUCUUUUAAGGUCACAACUAGUGAUCAGAAAACUUUGGUAUUUCAUGAUGUUGCUCCUUCUCAUUGGCAAUUUGGAUCAACUUAUGAGGGCAAGCUUAAUUUUUAGGAUUAUGUUGAUUUAGAAUCUCAAAUGGUUUAGUAAUGUCAUAUUUAGUUUCUAGUGACAAUGUUUCAUUGUUUUGUAUUUGAACUUGUACAAUUUAUGAAAUAAUUUUCUUUCGCAAAUAAAACAAUAAUAAGGAUUUAUUUAUCUUGUAUCUUAACUGUAUAUUUUAAUAGUUUAAACAUUUUUAAAAUAAUUGAAUGUUUGAAUCAGGGGUAUGUAUUGAUUUCGUAUCCACUUAUGCAUGGCAUAUCCUUAUUAUUCAUUUGUCUCCUUUCAAUUGUUACUUAUCUACUAAGAACUGUUGCAAGGGCAAGGUGCACAUGUAGCUAUUGCUUUUGAAGUUCCCGGUGGUUGGCAAAAAAAGAAAGACACUAUUGUUUUGACUGUUUUAUAGAUGCUUAUGGGAGGUGGUGGAUCCUUCUCAGCAGGGCCCCUGGAAAAGGGAUGCACUCAAGAUCUUCGUGUCUUGAACGAAUACCAACAGAUUCAAUCUUUUUCUGCAUUCAAUAGUAUCUUCAACAAUACAGGAUUGUUUGGCAUAUGUGCAAGAACUGUGAAGAUGCUGAAACUGAAAGAUGAACCGAGACUGAGGUGCUCUGCAUGAAACUCUACCACAUACAGAUGAUACAUGGCAUAGGGAAGAAGAUGAAGAGUGCAAUUGGCAGUGUUGUAGUGGCCAUUGUAAGAUAAAAUAUUUACAAGAAAAUUAUCUAAUAUAAAAGAAAGAUGAAGAGUGCAAUUGGCAAAGUGCUGCUUGGUCUAAGACUCUAAGUAGAUAUUGAAUAGAGCAUAGUUAUGUUCAUGAAUAUUUUUAUCAUGUUUUAGUCUAGACUGGGGAUCAUAAAUUUGAUGUAUUUAGAAAUUUUUAAUAUUUUAAAUUUAAUAUUUCUAUGUAGACAUUGUGAAUAUUUUGGUAUUUAUUUGAAAAAUUAAUCUAUGCUCGAUUUCUUUUA